UUUUUUUAAAAUGAUGAUUUUCGAAUUCCAUCAUUAAAAAUGUGAGUCGCACAAUUUACAAGAGCAUAAAUUGGAUUUGCAAAUCAAAACCUAAAACGGAAAACAUGUUUCUUAACAAGAAUAAAGACUGAUAAAAUACAAGAGACUCUUUUACAGAUGAAAGUAAAAAACAACUCUUGUCCUAGCUCUAGAAUUCAUGUCCUUGAAUGGUCACCAUGAGAAUGUCAAAGAGCAUCGCGCAUAACCUGCAAAAAGAUGACAAUGUCAAUAUGUGAAUAAAAGAAAAUGAUAUUUUAAUGAUGUCGCUUCUUAUAAUAAAAUCGAGGCGACGAUACAUGCCCCACAAUCCUUAUUACGGGAUUUUAGUAUUUCGCCAAGAUUUUAUCAUAAGAGAAAACAUCAUUAAAAUUAUCAAUCCACGGCCAUCAAUCGAAUGUCCACUUUUAUUCCAAAAGUUUCGUAUGCAAAAGUGUUAUUGAUUUUUGAAAAAUUGAUUUGUGAUUUUACUCAUAGAAAAUUAGAGUGAUUUUUAUUUUGAGGAAUUUGUACACAAAAUGAUUUGCAUUAUAGUCCCAAAAUGCGAGAAUGAGAAAAUUUGAUAAAAAAUGCAAUUUCAAUUUUUGUGUCCCAAUAUAAUCACAACUUGAAAGUUUUUUUUUUCUCUUUCUUUUUUUUCGAAAUGAUUUUGAGCCCAUAACUAGAAAUUUAAAUAGAACCAUGUGUUCAACAGGGCCAAAUCAAAAUGUUUAGAACUUGCAUUCAGAUGCUCACUUGUCAAAAGUGAUUGUCAAUUUUUCAAUCAUAAGCUUGCAUCACCGAGGGCAUUCGAUUGAUUUCCGCAAAUUUCAAGAUGAGAAAGCAAUACAAAAUGAGCAAAUAAAAAAAGGGAAAUGAUACUUACAAUGGGUGCCGACCUUUGUCUCAUGUUUUUUUUUCAAAAUUACAUAGACAUGCACAUGGAAUGUGGUUCGAUUUCUACUCUAUACGGCCCAAAAUGGAGCCAUGGGAUCACCGGACUGAACCAACAAGGUCGUGGCUGGGUCGGGUUACCCAUGACUCCGGCUUCGUCAAAGAACCGACCCAUGUCGCACGGUUGCAGACCGGGGUGGGUACCUUUGACGUGAAGAAAGAGAUUUCGGGGUUAAGGUGGGCGACUCGUACUACGCGAUUGUAGUCGGAGUGGUAUCCACCUCAACACCAUCCUAAGUGAUCCUAUGCGGCCCAGGUCCGGCGGCAGAUUGUGUGUGCCAUGGUGUAGUGCAAUGCAGAGAAUACAUGCACAACAAUUUAUAGGCAAACAACACUCCGUACAUAAAAAUAAACCAUACAUUCCUACAUUUCCCUGCAAGACAAAGGUGAGCAAACACUUCCCCUUAUACCUCCCAUUCUGUAAGAACAUUUAACACCUACAAUGUUAGGGGCGUACCUUGAAUCCUCGCUGCCAAACAAAAAUACUUUUGAACAAGAUUAAUUUUGGCUUAAGUCCUCUAAGGUUUAAAACCAAGUCCCCAGCGGAGUCGCCAAGCUGUCGCGACCUACCCUCGGGGGGGAGGGAGCGGGUUUAGGGGUAUUGCCUAAGGACAGGCCUAAGGCCCAUGAUUAGGCGCGAGCUCUCCCAAGCCCAUACCCCGCGUGACGUUGGGAUAUUCUUAAUAAAUUUUGCACAAAAGGAGUCGCCACUAGCCUAUUGGGGUCGGCUAGAAAUCAAGUGAGGCAUGGGAGCGUGCCUCACUUCCUACGCAACCAGAGAAUUUAGGUUCGGAGACUUGAUUACACUAAUUAACCAAUUAGUGCCCUUUCGGUACCUAAUCUUGUUCAUUUUAACAAAAUGAUUUUUGGUAGGCAAUUUGGAUUGAUUUCAUAUUUAUCCACUAACAUGUGAGAUGAUCAUGCAGGUGCGCAAUCAUUAAAGUAAAUCAUAACUACCAAGAUCUUAAUUGCAGUAAAAUUAACAUACCACUAAGGAAUUGCGAACAUACUUAAACAGGUGAAUUAAACAUGCAAUAUAAUCAAUAUACAAGCAAUUUAAGGCCUAAAUACACUAUAAAUGCAAUACAUGGCCAUUCCUAAACAAAACCUACAUUUUUUGGAUUUU
This 2095-nucleotide long non-coding RNA is filed under the name Eucalyptus grandis. RNAcentral describes it as "long non-coding RNA (EGRA_LNC003795)". Lineage: Eukaryota; Viridiplantae; Streptophyta; Magnoliopsida; Myrtales; Myrtaceae. The record is from RNAcentral.